GACAGAGGGUGCAAACGUUGUUCGGAAUUACUGGGCGUAAAGCGCGUGUAGGCGGCCCUGCAAGUCGGGUGUGAAAUCCCACGGCUCACCGUGGAAGUGCACUCGAAACUGCAGGGCUAGAGUCCUGGAGAGGAAGGUGGAAUGCUUGGUGUAGAGGUGAAAUUCGUAGAUAUCAAGCGGAACACCGGUGGCGAAGGCGGC
RNAcentral lists this ribosomal RNA (201 nucleotides) under uncultured bacterium. RNAcentral describes it as "partial 16S ribosomal RNA". It matches the Rfam family "Bacterial small subunit ribosomal RNA", at positions 524 to 725 of the family's 1533-position model. The record is from RNAcentral.